Ixodes scapularis (black-legged tick) is the source of this 212-nucleotide long non-coding RNA. RefSeq lists it as uncharacterized. The transcript is spliced from 3 exons. NCBI's taxonomy places the organism in Eukaryota, Metazoa, Arthropoda, Arachnida, Ixodida, Ixodidae. The record is from RefSeq and is a predicted model, not a curated record.
CCGGUUAGGGUACUGACACGAUGCAAAACCUACAAGAAGGCCCUCAAGAAAUCUCGGCUAGCCGAAGAAACAUCAACACUUGAAACGUCGGAGUUUUCAGCCCCGGAGGCCGAAACUCCUGAGGAUGUCUUCACAACCUAUGACGAUGCGCCAUCGCACCGUCUGGCCUUGCCCUCUCCACGUAAGUUGAAUAAAUAUUGGUAAUGUAGGCA